AUUGAACGCUGGCGGCAUGCCUUACACAUGCAAGUCGAACGGUAACGGGCCUUCGGGUGCCGACGAGUGGCGAACGGGUGAGUAAUACAUCGGAACGUGCCCGAUCGUGGGGGAUAACGAGGCGAAAGCUUUGCUAAAACCGCAUACGAUCUACGGAUGAAAGCAGGGGACCGCAAGGCCUUGCGCGGACGGAGCGGCCGAUGGCAGAUUAGGUAGUUGGUGGGAUAAAAGCUUACCAAGCCGACGAUCUGUAGCUGGUCUGAGAGGAUGAUCAGCCACACUGGGACUGAGACACGGCCCAGACUCCUACGGGAGGCAGCAGUGGGGAAUUUUGGACAAUGGGCGCAAGCCUGAUCCAGCCAUGCCGCGUGCAGGAUGAAGGCCUUCGGGUUGUAAACUGCUUUUGUACGGAACGAAAAGCCUUCUUUUAAUACAGGAGGGUCAUGACGGUACCGUAAGAAUAAGCACCGGCUAACUACGUG
This 482-nucleotide ribosomal RNA is filed under the name uncultured bacterium. Its description in RNAcentral is "partial 16S ribosomal RNA". It matches the Rfam family "Bacterial small subunit ribosomal RNA", at positions 30 to 507 of the family's 1533-position model. The record is from RNAcentral.